CUACCAAGAUCCAGAUUAGUUUGAGUGUAUUGAAUCAAUUUCUGACUUCAUUACCUCUAACCACUUCUCAGAGUCAAUAUCUAAUAUCGCCUCAUUAUAGAUCUUGGGGUCAUCUCUAUAUAUCUUAUUUUUUAUGAGAAAUAUUUUCUCUACAUUCUCUGAAAUAAUACCUAAGUAUCUUUCAAGAAGAUGAGAAACCCUACUAGACUUACGAGGUGG
This 219-nucleotide long non-coding RNA is filed under the name Elaeis guineensis (African oil palm). Its description in RNAcentral is "long non-coding RNA (EGUI_LNC020355)". Lineage: Eukaryota; Viridiplantae; Streptophyta; Magnoliopsida; Arecales; Arecaceae. The record is from RNAcentral.